Molecule: long non-coding RNA, 18512 nt
Filed under: Mytilus galloprovincialis (Mediterranean mussel)
Lineage: Eukaryota; Metazoa; Mollusca; Bivalvia; Mytilida; Mytilidae
Source: RNAcentral
CGACAAUAGACUUGAAAUCAUGUUCAGAAUUUUUGUCUUUACACUCACUGCAUGUUUCCUUGGAAAACAUUUUGCAGAAGCAGCAGGUAAAGUCUAUCAUUUUUUAUAUUGAUAUAAUUAUUAUAAAAGACAAAUGUGAUUUUCUCUUUUUGGAACCGGAUAUAGAUAAAGUAAUUUUAUCGUCAAUUUUGCAGAUGUUGUAUCAAGGCUAUUUAUAUCAAAUAAAAGAUUUUUUCCUUUCGAAUGAACAUAGCAUUGAGGUUAUAUGAUGAAAUAUGUUAGUUUUCUCGCUUUUGAUGCGGCUGUCAUACAAGUGAGAGGUUUAGCGCUAUAAAACUAUUUGAAAAUGCCUGUACCAAGUCAGGAAUAUGACAGUUAGUUGCCCAUUUGUUUGAUGUGUUUUAUCAUUUGAUUUUGCCAUUUGAUUAAGGACUUUCCGUUUUGAAUUUUCCUCGGAGUUCGGUAUUUUUGUGAUUUUACUUUUGAAUUGUUUUGCAUUUGUCAAUUCGGGGCCUUUAAUAGCUGACUAUGUGGUAUGGGCUUUGCUCAUUGUUGAAAGCUGUACGGUGACCUAUAGUUGUUAAUUUCUAUGUCAUUUGGUCUCAAGUGGAGAGUUGUCGUAAUGACAAUAAUACCAGAUCAUUUUUUUUUUAUAUGGAGGGCUUUUUUCAUAAUGAUUGUUAAAGAUGUAAACUAUAAAACCUGGUACUUUUUACUGUUUUGUUCGUCAGUUUCAUUGUUUGGGCUAGGGGAGGGGGUGUAUAAACUGAUUUUGUUUCAAAAUAUUCUGAACUGAAAAUGGACAACAUUUAAAUUACUCAAACUCGAAACAAAAUGUUUUAAUUUUAAACAUGAUGAUCUUCGGAUAUGACUACAAAGUCUGUUUACUUCAAAAAGGUUAUAUACUUAACAACACAAAUUACGCACAGCAUCUUACUUGAUUUAUUCAUAUAAAUCUAUUACAUUUCAAGCAUUUGUUUUCUGUAUGACAGUCCGUAUUUGCAUAUCAAUACCAAAUAUUUGUCCGGCAAUUAUUGUAAUAUUUUUUUCCAACUUUUUGUCGCCCGAACUUUGUAAUUAAAUUUUACGAAAAAAUGAGACGAAAGACACCCAUGUUUUUAUUAGAUCAUUAGGUAGAUUAAUGUCAACAGUUUAUGAAAAGGUAUCACUCAAAGACAUUGAAAUUCUAGUUUGAUCCAAAUUUUGGGGGGAUAUGUGACAUUUUCACCUCCCUUUUAAAUGCAGAAUGUUGCCAUGGAUACACAAUAAAGGAAUUAUAUUUCAGCCUUUUCACUUUUGAAAAUAAAAUCCAUGGAAGACAUACAUAUGCACAUGUAAAACACAAACAGGAAGGUUACUGUAUUAGAAAGCCAGGAAUAGAAGAUGAUAAAACAUUUUGUGGUUCAAUUUGAAUUUUAUUUUCUUACUGUGGAGUGCUACCUAAGAGAUUAAUGUUGUAGUGUAUCAUAGGUGUAAAUUCAAAUCCCGUUGAAGAACAAAAAUUUGUCAGCAUGAAAAUCUAUUUCUAACACUGUUCGGUUUUAUUUUCAGACUUAUAAAUAUUUAUAUAUGUAUACAUAAAGUCUCUGAAUGAUUGUAUAAUAAAAACUAUAACACAAAUUCCCAUACGUUUAGGGAAUAAACUACAACAUUGAAACAACAAUUACAUCGCUUGGAUACAUUACGUUAUAAUAACUACUAUGACGUUCAUUUGCCGCGUUUUUUCUUUUUUUAUAUAUAAGUAUUUUUAUUAUCGUUCAUACAUUGUGUUGAGUCCAUCAGGCUCUAAAUUUUUAAUUUUUUUUAACCAUUUCAUUCAGCAUAAUCAUACGAUGAAAAAUUUAAAAGUUACCGCCAUAGAAAGAGUAUUUGGAACAGAAAUUUACAGAAAACUAAAGAAGCCUUUUGGAUAAAAAAAAAUAAAAACAUUAGAUCCUGAUGGACUCAACACAAUGUAUGAACGAUAAUGAAAAUACUUAUAUAUAAAAAUAGAAAAAACGCGGCAAAUGAACGUCAUAGUAGUUAUUAUAACGUAAUGUAUCCAAGCGAUGUAAUUACAUAAUAGUUAUUGACAAACUGGUCAUUAUCGUGAUAUAUGGACUGCCCACAGGACAGUGGUAUUGACUAAGAGAGUGAUAAUGAGAGCCGUAGGCGAGGUCAUUAUCGCUGUCGAAGUCAAUACCACUGUCCUACGGGCAGUUCAUGUAUCACGAUAAUGACCAGUUCUCCAAUAACUAUUAUGUUUAUUUCAUUGAGGAACAAUGUUUUUACAAAUUCUUAUAAAUUCAAAAUAUUCAAAGCAAACUCGAGUGAUUGUACGAUUUAUAUAGCAAAGAGUGAAGACCAGUCGUAAUAAUACAUGUAACUAUAAGUCACUGCCAUUCAUAUAAGUUCAAUUUUUCAGUAUAUGAAUACUAAAUAAAGUUUUCUAUCAUUUUAUAAUUAAAGAAAACAUAUGGUAAACAAUUCAACAACAUAAAUAUUAAAUUGAAAACAGGAACAUGUUUUAUUAAAGGGUCAUCUCUCUGAACAGAGAAACCACGCCCCAUCGGUCAUUAACAGAGAAACCACGCCCACCGGUCAUUAACGUGUAGAAAAGUUUGUUAACGACCGGUAUUCUGGUCUGUGUUGUUCUGUUAAAGACCGAUGGAAUUUAUUACUGAAGAAUAAAGAAUGUCAUGUGGCCCCUUUUUAUCCAAUAAGAGAAGCUAAUUCUUAACCGAUAUGAAAUAAUUGUUGUUUUAAUGUAACAGUUGUAAUUUAUUCCAAUGAAGAAGGCCGUAAUGGCCGAAACGUAUGGGAAUUUGUGUUAUAGUUUUUAUUAUAUAUAUACAUAUAUAUAUUCAAAAUAAAAUAAACUCCUCAUAGAUAACAGUUUUAAAAUUCCGUCGUGUAUAGUUAUGGUGUUGUAAAUGGCCCACGGGGAUUUUGUUAAAUUGUGUAUGCCAGACGCGCGUAUCGUGGUAGAGUAGUCUAUCGCGCUGGCCAUAAGGCUAAGUGAUUGGUGUUGUAGUGUAUCAAAGGUGUAAAUUCAAAUCCCGUUGAUGGACAAAAAUUUGUCAGCAUACAAAUCUAUUUCUGACACUGUUCGGUUUAAUUUUCAGACUUAUAAAUAUGUAUAUAUAUACAUAUGUAUUCAAAAUAAAAUAAACUCAUCAUGGAUAACAGUUUUAAAAUUCCGUCGUGUAUAGUUAUGGUGUUGCAAAUGGCCCACGGGGAUUUUGUUAAAUUGUGUAUUCCAGACGUUCGUAUCGUCUACAAAAGAUACGCCAGUGACUCCCGCCAAAAAAUUAAAGUAAAGUAUCAACUUGAAGUGCAUUUAUGACAUAAACACAUGAUAUAUUGUUUUUUUUCUCUUCAUUCGGUUAUAUCUCUAAUAGCUCGAUGAAUUGUUUUCUAACAGUUACAGUUUUAUUUCAGCUUUACCCCAGAACAUACAAAUUCGUAAGUAAUUUAUUAAUAAUUUCUCCCUUCAAAUAAUAAUCUGCUUUGACAUUCAUAAUGAAUUAAUCUAUGUAUACUAGUCAACAAAAGAAAAUAUAAAAGGCAAUGUAUUUUCCAUAUAGAAUGAAAUUGGAUACACUGUACCCAGGAAAAUAAUUGCCCAAUUGGUCUAAUUUUUACAGAGUGUUAUUUUCUUAUCAUAACCAUUGAUUUAAGGCAAAAAACGCGAAACUUUUUUGAAUUUUUGUAUUUUCAAAAAUCAUAUUUUUUACCAAAAAAUUAAAAAAUCAAUAUUAGAACUUAAAAUGUAAAACUCAAACAGGGUCUGCUUUCAAUUUUGAAUUCAUUUGCAGAAAUUUGAAUACUUAAUUCUCAUCUUCAAAAUUAAGUGCCGAAUCUUGUCAUCAUUUUCUGCAAAAUGAAAUUGACCCCUGUGUUCAAUAACUCGGUAUUUCCUAACUUUCCAAUUUGGUCAGAUUCUUUUAAUCAUAUGCAUUUGCUUUGUAAAUGAAUGUUUUUAAUUGGAUAAUUUAACUGUUUUUCCUAUUUAUUAUAUUUUAUGAUAAAUUGGAGUUCAAACUUGUGUAUCGUUUCUUUUGUUGACUACUAUAUAACUGUGAAAUUAUCAAAUUAAAGAAAUAGUAAUUUGUCGAUUUUCAAAUAAAAAUAAUUUGAUUGAGAAGACAAAUCAAGACAACAAACAAAAAUGGGGGAAUAUCUUGAACUCAAACUGCGCGUUAAAACAAAAGUGGGCAUUUCUUGCUUUGCAUUCUUUAUCCGCUUAACGAAUCGUCAUUCAGUCAAACACAAUCGGUGUUAGUAGGAAGAGAUCCCAAGGGGAUAUUCGAACUCAUUGGUAGAAAAAACUAACAACGUCAUUGCAAGAAAGUAAAAACAUCCUACAAUGUUUUUGCUGUGUUAGAUCAUUAGAUACCGGUAAAGUCGACUGCUUUGUAAUUUGACCAAUUGGGACGUUUUGACUAAGUGCGAAUUCUUAUGUCCGUAGACGCUGACUUUUUUACUACUUGUUGGGUUCAUGCUGUUAUCUCAGUUUUUCGUUUGUUACCUUGAUUUGUCUCUUUAUAUUCGCUUUAUGAGCCAAACAUAGGUUAACUACUGUUGCCUUUGUUAGGCGGGAAUGGAAUAGAGAAAAUAUAAAUGUCAGUGUUUUUAUCAUGCAAAUUCACGAAACAUAUCAUCAACAAGACACUUUAUUAAUUUAUUGAAUCCAAAGCGCUUUUCAGCAUUCAUUAGAAACGCACUAACUAAAACAUUUGAAAGUCAUAGAUGUUAAUGUACGUAUAAACUUCAAGAGCUGUACGGCAUGCAAAACCCAAAAGAAUAGUUAAAUUAAUUACGGUCAACUUUGCUUGAGGGAGUUGUAGUAUUAGUUUCGAAAGAAAACUUUGUUUAUAAAGGGGAACUUUUUCAGACGUAUUUUAUAAAUCAUGUCAGAACCAGAGGUACUAACUACCUAUGUGAUCAUACCCUCGGAGACUAGCAGUUCACCAGCAGUGAUGUCGAUGCAGUGCUGAUAAACCUUUUUUCUGCAUUUACAUUCAUUAGGACAGCUUGGACCUAAACAUUUGAAAGCCAGGAAUGUAAACAUACAUUUCGCUAUAUAUUCAAAAGAGAUCCAAACAAUUAUUUUUAUCGAAGGUCACCUUGAGAGAUUGAGUUUAAUCAUCAUUCUGCAAAUUAUAAAUUCAUUUACAAUAUAUCUUAAAAAGUUUGUUAUACAUCAUGUCAGUACCGAACCACUAACUUCUAAAAAUAUCCUGGGGUGACGAAAGUCAUCCGUAAGUGGUAUUACCCAGUGCUAGUAAAUGCAAAUAACUCCAAUAGUUCCUUGUGUUUGAAGCGAGUUUAUAAUUUCCUUCAUCAUGAACGAUCAAACAUAAAAUUUGAAAAUAAACCUAAGACAUAUUUAUUCAAUUACAAUUUUGUCAACUUCAGAAUAAAACUUUCAAAUAUAGUGAUAAUUGUAGGCUUUUAUCGCACUUUUUAACGGUGACUCCUUAUUAUGAAUCAAAAGACAGAUUUGUAAUAUAUUUAGAACAAAUAUAAAAUUAUUGAAACGACCUUAUUGUGUGAAAAUAAACGAGCCUAGCGUAUUAUCUAAGAUAGUUAACGCCAUACAAUAGUGCAGAUAGUAUGUUAUUGUUGAGAAUUGGGAGUUGACAAGUGGAAAGUUAAAAUCGUCCACGUUGUCAUAGAGUCUAGGUCGAAGUCAUCCAUCUAUAUCAAUAUAUCAGAAAAAGUUAAUAUACUAUGCGCACCGUUUUCUUUCGGUAGCAUUCUAAAAUUGUUCGCUUAGACAAAUAUGAAAAAUAUGAUAAUAAAAAUAACACUCAUGGAUUGAUUCUGAUUCAGAUUAAGCAUUAUCAGCUCGAGUAUUCUUCAUAUCAAUGAUCUUUUAUACUGUUUCCUUUUUAUUUUAGUUACCCAUCAUCAAAUUAACGUAGAUCCCUUGCAGACUCGUAAGCAUCUUAUUAAAUAAUUCAAUAACAAGAAAAUAAUGAUAACGAUAAUGUGCAUGUAUUGUCUAUUCUUUGUUUCCAAACCAAACGAAUGUUUAAUAUCAAUAACUUUUACAAUUUAGAUUUAAAACAAUGGCGGCUUUAUUAAAUAUGAAAAUAAACAACGAUUAUGCGCAUAUAUUAUUCUUUUGAUUUAUGAAAGAGAAAACACUGUAAAACACUUAAAAUACGAAAGAGAGGACGAGAUGAUAACACAGCGAUUGGAUUAGAACAAACCGCGGUAAUUGGUUUCAUUUAUAUUUCAAAUCGGUCACGGAACUAAUUGCUGACGUAAAGCUUUUGAAGACUUCACUUUAGCAUUAUCUUUUUUUUCCAAUAGCUUUCUAGUUAGCAGCAAUUCAAUAAAGAGAAAACUAUGAUAGGAAAACAAGCUUUAUCAAUGGGAUAUAUGCGUAAACGUUAUCUUUAUACGGGAACGUUAAGCUUAAGUUAAUUCCAUUUCUUCUACGAAGAUUUUGUAGGAAGUAUUCACACGGAACAAAACGGCUACAGCGGGGAAAAGUUGGUUCCCUCAGAAAUUUCAUUAUCUAUUCGUAAAUGAAAACACCUCCAUGAAUUACACAUUUCAUAAAACAAAUUAAGUCUCUGGAUGAUGUCAUUUUCAAAAAAGAAUUAGAAUGAUGAUGGAUACAAGAGUAAAGGUUAGAGAAGUAAUUUGUUUUAUACCGUUGUAACAGAAAAAAAAGAGACUUUGGUUGCAAGAUAAAAUGUUUUUUGUUUAACCUUAAAUAGACUUUCAUAGUUAAUUGCAAGCCCGGCUUUGUAUUGUUUGGCUUUAUAACUAUUUAUAUUCAACUUUGUAUUGGUUGGCUUUAUAACUAUUUUGAUAUGAGCAUCACUGAUCAGUCUUAUAUAGACGAAACGCGCGUCUGGCGUACUAAAUUAUAAUCCUGGUACUUUUGAUUACGAUUAAUUGCUUAUAAUGGUUCAUUUUGAUUAUAUGUUUUUUCUUCUUUGGUUGCAUUUAACGAGUCGUUUGUUUUUUCUUAUUUGAGAAUUGAGAUAAAGUUGGCACGUCUUGUCAUACCCAAUUCAUGUAUGGUUUUCUGUACAUGUUUUAUGUGGGUUUUGUCUGAUGAUUGGUUGUUCGUUGUGUUGCGUUCGUGUUGUGUCGUUGUCUCUUUAAUUUAAUGCGUUCGCUCGUUUGGUUUUACCCCGAUUUUGUUUUUUGUCCAUGGAUUUAUGAGUUUUGAACAGCGGUAUACUACUGUUGCCUUUAUUUAUAAUCUUGAUGUUGAUAAUUGUAAAGACAAUAUUCGAGCAAUAUUACGAUGCUAUUUUGGUAUCCACGAAUUGGAGAAAAAAAUCAUGUUUUCUUCCUUGAUUGCAUUUCAAAUGUUAUAUCUUGUCAUUGGAUUAUAUAUGUUACAUAAUGACAAUGAGUUUAUAUCUAAUGAUUUUUGGUAUUCCUAAUAAUUAAAUUUGAAAUUCUAAAUCCUUUUUUCAACAGUCCAGAUUCCACAAAUACAGUUAUUCAACCAUGUGAUAAACACGGACCCUGACCAACUUCGUAAGUUCUAUUUUAUCAAGACUAGAUAUUAGUAAGCAGACUUGGAACCAUUAGUUAAACAAGUCUUAUAUUUUAGUUAAUGUUAACAUUCAGUACUGUAUUGAAAUUCAGACUUUGGUUGUCGCUGCAGUUUAGUUUUUUCUUUCCUUUUUGGAUUUAUUUUUCUCUUUUUGUUAGGCUUUUGUUUGUGUAGUUUUCAAAUUUUCUGUCUGCGGAUUUCAAAGAUUUGCGUCAUAUCGUGAAUUAAAUCUUCAACUGAUUAUUUGGUAAGUUACGAAUUCAACUAAAUGAGAAAUAACAAGAUUAUAAAGUUCUAUUACAAAGAAUAAGAGUUCCUUUAGACACUUGUUUAACAUUCAGAUAUAUUGUUGAUGUUAUUUCAAAUAAAUAUCAAAACUUUUCUGAUUGAAUUCUAUUAAUAUAUCCUCUAGAAAUAGAAAUUAAAGAAACAAUACACACUGCCUCAUUUUUCUACUAAGACCACGAAGCUGACAUUAGCGUACAUCUCAUUACCAGAUUCUAUUACAAACUAGACGAAUGUUAUUUUGACAUUAUCCCACACCUUAGUAGCAAUAUACAAACUUCACCUGAAUACGGGACAUACAUUUCCUAACUCCUUUCAAGAUUUUGCAGCUGCUACCCAGAAUUUAUUAAAGGUGUCUUCGCAUAUUCUUGAUUAACCAGCAUUAUUUAAAAAAUAACGCAUUUUCCUUUUCUACCUAUACAUCUCGCCAAUGUAUUGUUGUAUUGUUGUAUUGUUGUGUUGUUUUUUUUGUUUUUUUGGUUUUUUUUUGUUUUUUUUUUCUUGCCUUUCAUUUUGCUUAAAUUCUUUUUGUAUAUGGUAUUUUGCUGUUCUUUUUUGGCAUAUAAGUUUUUAUAGUGAUAACGAUUAUAACACAAUGUUGACUGUUGUACUCCUAUUUUUGACAUUUUCAGCUAUCUAUGUCAGUUUGUUUUAUUAACAAAUUGUUUAUAUAAUGGACUUUUUAUUCGAUAGUCAUACAAGUGAGCGGUUUAGCUAGCUCUAAAACAAGUUUUAAUACACAAUUUUCUACAUAAGAAAGGGUUUGGUAUUGUACAAUCUGAAGUUGUUUAUCCGUGGUAUUUUUUUUUUUUUUUUUUUUUUUUUUACCUUUUGAUUUUUUACACGUCAUUCAUCGUAUUGAUAUAAUAUGGUAUGCUGUAGUUUACCUAUUCGUCUAUACGUAUGUCCGUCCAUUUACAGGUCGAAGAACUACUAGAGAAUAAUUUUAUGAACAAAAAUCAUCAUACUCUUAUGGCAUAUUUGAAGGGAUGGAAGAAAACUUCCUUUAUAUAGAUUUGAAAUAUGUGGCUUCGUUCCAGUGACUAAAACGUUAUACUAAAUGUUUUUCUCAUUCAUCGACCAGUAUAUUUGAUAUCUCCUAUCAGUAAAUUGCUUUCUAUAUAAACUAGAUAUCAGUUUUCGUUUCCUACAAAGUUACAUCUGCUAUAUUCAACAGUAUUUAACACACUUAAUAAAAACACGAUUUUCGUUAGUGUAUUUCAACUUAGAUCUAAAAAGAGAUAAUAAAUUGCCUUUUCCACUUGACAAACAAAUAACUUUCUGUUAUAAAACGGUUUGUGUUUUUCUCAUUAUUUAAGGCCAUGCAAAUGUCUUUAAUUGGUAACAUCAACUUUAUUUGUAGUUUUGUUGAUAGUUGUCUCAUUUACAGUCCUAUCAAAUUUCACUUAUUUAUAUAUAUAUAUACUAGGCAAACAAAAGUAACGCUAGUACAUGUUUGUAAGAUAAUAUUUUUUAUAACAAAAAAAUUAUAACAAUAAGUUAAUGGAAUAGUUAGCUUACAUCAUGUUGAAGAGAACAAUAACAAGUUUCCUCUAUUUUAAACAAUAUUGCACAUUUUUGGACAAUUUUUAGAGGACGAUUAAAAAAAUACCGUUAUAUUUAUGACCGCAUGGCAACUCUGUCUCAUUGAAUCAAUAUGACGUCGAAUUAAGUUUCGUCCAAAUGCAUACCAAAUAUGUUCAAUUGGCGAUGAAUCUGUAGACAUUGCUAUUCAUGGCAACACACGCAUAUGAUUAUUUUCCAAAGAAGUUCAUCGAAAUGUGCGCAACUUGACAAUGGGCGUUGUCCUGCUGAAAACUUUGUUUAAUUGAUGCCUUCGUAGAAACAUGAAAACAAUUGCAACCAGAAUUUCGUCCCUUUACCUUGAUGCAUUUAAAAUAAACACCAAUUAUUUUUGAACUCGGUGAGUUUAUGGUAGGUUAUUCCACCCCAUACCACCAAAUCGUUGUGUUUCAUAUACGCACGCAACAAAAAAUCGUUCAUUGCGUCUCCAGAAGACUCUGACUAAUUUCAAGUUGAAUUUCGAUUCAUCGGUAAAAAGAAAUUGUCUGUAUGUAAGCAUAUUUCAUUGAAUCCUUAUCCAAGUAAAUUGAAGUCGCACCACUCUGUGACGCUACCUAAGGAUAGGUCUAUUCAACGAACGACGUGUUGACGCAAUCGAUAACGUAUAGUUCGGGCAGAUAUUCUGUGUGAGAUUUAUGUUCUGGUUGUGACGCGUUUACACACCAAUUCCAGAGAUGAAUAAUGCGAAUUUGCCUGUCUUAACACUACGUCUUUCCACGUGACCUGUCACUUCGUGGACGAUCAUUUGUCUCAGAUGAAUCUUAAGCCUUCCAAUAGUCAUUUUAGAGACAUUAACAUCAUUUGCAACCUGCAUUUGAGUCAUUCCUGCUUCCAACAUCCCAAUAGCUCGUUCUCUCUCAUUUUUGCGUAGACAGGGCAUUGACCUACGUGAAGCUUUUUAAUUUUUGAAAUGCGAACUUUUGUAUAUAAAAGUGUUCAACGACAAUGACAGCUCGAUUCCACCUUUUUAUAUGUAAAUGUUUGAAAAAAAAUGCUUAUUUGUUUGAAAUCAGAAAAUAGCGUAACGUCAUAUCCAUUUUAUUUUUACAAAUGAGUUAUUUUGACAAAUAUAUAAUACAGGGUACUACUUUUAAUCUUGAAAAAAAUUAAAAAGACAUAUAUGAUUUUUUCUUUAUCAAAAUCCAAGGCAACGUUACCUUUCCCUCAUAGUAUAUAUAUAUAUAUUGACAUUGCAGAACCAAGAGUUUAAAUUUAAAAAUAGAAAACUUAAGGUCUCGCAAGGGUUUCUUUGACGCUAAUGGUAUCAAUGAUAUCACUCGUAAAAAGUUACCAAUAUGGUAUGUCAUUCAGUUUAGUCAAGAAUUAUUGGUAGACUGAUAAUAUGUAGAAUUUAAAAUUAUCAUUAAUUAUAAGAAGUUAUAUUCAUCUUUUUCAAAAGUUGGUCGUCGAGAUGAACCUGUUGAAGAUUCUUCUAGUCAUGUCAUAAUUAAAGAACCUGAGGCAAAUCGUAAGAAACUUUUAUUUAUUAUAAAUAUAUUCAUAUCAAUAGAUUUGCUCUAAUUGUGCGGUCUUUUUAGAAACAUUCUGUUUUGUCAUAUUUUGUCUUAACAUAAUCAUGGUCAUAUUUGUUUAAUUUGUAUGAAAAGGACAAAGAUUAAAGAACUAUAUCCGCUGAACACAUUAAUUGACAAUAAACAUAUUAUGAUAAAACUGCUCGAGGUAAAAAAAAAAAGUGACCGAUCUCAUAUCAUUGGCUAUAUCAAACAAUUUUGGUUUGGGACGGACUUGUUUCGCAUUGACAAUAUAAACAAAAAAUACUACUCGACGCAUACCCAUGAUCAUUUGUGAAAGAGAAUUCCAUAACGGCCAACCAAGUCGAUGGGGGUAAAAUUUCCAAGUUGCAAACUCUACCAAUAAGAAUCUUUGUUUUAAUAACUUUAAUAAAGUAAAGCAUAAUAAGAAUGCAAGCUUGAUAAUAUCAUUUCAACUUGAAUACAUAUUCUCUACAUGCUGGCGCUACUGUAAUGUCCAACAAAAAUGAUAUAGAUUCAGUCAGAAAUAUGCAGUUUAGUAUUUCAAAAAAGUCAAUCAACAGUUCCGAACUCCAAGGUUCAUCAGAAAAAUGGGAAGUCUGUUAAAAUGUCAAAAUCAAAGCUAGACUUUAUCAAAAGUAAGAACACCAAUGUAACUUUACCUUUCCCCCUUAGUGUAUAUAUCAUGUUAGCUCAAUAUAUAUUUUUUUUUCUCGCUAAAAAGUGACAUUGCAGAACCAAGAGUUUAAAUUUUGAAAUAGAAAACUUAAGGUCUCGCAAGGGUUUCUUCAACGCUAAUGGUAUCAAUGGGCGACCCAAUUGGCCGACUUCAUUUCGAUAUCUAGUGAAAAUGGGAUUGACAUGGUCAUAUAUAACACAUGUUAUGAUUGGAUAUAGCUUUCCCGCAAUUAGAACCCGAGGAGCCCUGGGUUGUUGCUGGGUUCCUUGAGAUCGACUUGAUAUCCCGGAUGUUAUGACAUCAAUCCAAUCAAAUUUGAAUGUAAACAUAUUAAGAGUAGGGGCCUUGUACUUCCGGUAAUCUAGAGACGUUACUCUUCAAAACUAUUUACCGUUUAUAUGGAACUCGAGUCAAAAUUCGUGUUCCAAAUAAAGCCGCCAUAUUACGUCACUAGCACACUAUGUAACGAAUUUAUCUUACCGACUACUAGUAUCUUAACGUGUGAAACUUAGAGAGGGACCUAUCAAAAUUCAAUACCGUUAGCAUUAAGACACUACUUCCAUUGAUCCUACAAAAACAGAUGCCAACAAUAACAACUUGCUCGGUUUAAAUGUGUUUUAUGAAUUUAUUUCAAUUUUCAUCAUCAAUUUCUUCGUCUGUUGAAACCUUUAAGAUUUUUUCUCAGUAUAGUUUUGUUUUAUAAAGAUACAUAACACCACUACUAACCGUGUAUGAAAUAAGCCCCGCCUCCCUACUAACCUAAUAUGGAAUAAACACGGUUAUCCAAGCGGACGCUUUUUGCCCAUCAUAUUCCUAGAAAUGUAUAGGAGGUAAGAUAAUAUGUAGAAUUUGAAAUUAUCAUUUAUAACAAGAAGUUAUAUUUAUCUGUUUCAAAAGUUGGUCAUCCAGAUGAACCCCUUGAAGAUUCUUCUGACCAUGUCAUAAUUAAAGAAUCUGAGGCAAAUCGUAAGAAACUUUUAUUUUUUAUUUAAAUUUAUUAUAAAUAUAUUCAUAGCAAUAGAUUCGCUUAAAUUGUUCGGUAUUUUUAAAAACAUUCUGUUGUGUCAUAUUUUGUUCUUAAAAUAAUCAUUGUCAUAUUCAUUAAAUAUCUAUGGAAACAACUCAAGAUUACAGAUUAUAUUCGCUGACCACAUUAAUUGACAAUAAAAAUAAUAUGAUAUAAGUGAUCGAGGUAAAAAAAAAAGUGAGUGAUCUCAAAUCAUUGGCUACAUCAAAUAAUUUUGGUUUGGGACGGACUAGUCUCGCAUUGACAAUAUAAACAAAUAUUAAUACUUGACGCAUACCCAUAGUCAUUUGUGAAAGAGACAUUCCAUAACGGCCAACUAACUCGAUGGUGGUAAAAGAGGGACGAAAGAUAUCAGAGGGACAGUCAAACUCAUAGAUUGAAAAUAAACUGACAACGGCUUGGCUUAAAAUAAAAAAAACAAACAGACAAAUAACAGCACAGAAGAUAAACAUAGAAAACUAAAGACUGAGCAACACGGUAAACUCAGGUGUUCCGGAAGUGAAAGCAGAUCCUGCUCCACAUGUGGCAUCCGUCGUGCUGCUUAUGUUAUUACAAAUCCGAUAAAAAGUCUAAUUCGGUAGUUCACAAUCGUGAAUAGGGAAGGGUAUUGUAGUUACGACACGAGGAAGAUAUACGAUAAAACUUCCAAAUGGAAAACUUAACCAAUAAGAAUCUUUGUUUAAAUAAAAUUGAGAAUGGAAAUGGGGAAUGUGCCAAAGAGACAACAACCUGACCAUAGAGCAGACAACAACAGAAGGUCACCAACAGAUCUUCAAUGCAACGAGAAAUUCCCGCACCCGGAGGCGUCCUUCAGCUGGCCCCUAAACAAAUAUAUACUAAUUCAGUGAUAAUGAACGCCAUACUUAACUCCAAAUUGUACACAAGAAACUAAAAGUUAAAAUAAUACAAGACUAACAAAGGCCAGAGGCUCCUAACUUGGGACAGGCGCAAAAAUGCGGCGGGGUUAAACAUGUUUGUGACAUCUCAACCCUCCCCCUAUACCCCUAGCCAAUGCAGAAAAGUAAAUAACUUACUUGUAGGCAGCAACCUUCAAUUAAGUAUAUCAUAAUAAGAAAGCAAGCUUUAUAAUAUCAUAUCAACUUGGAUACAUAUUCUCCACAAGCUGCAGCUACUGGAAUGUCGAACAAAAAUGAUAUACAUUCAAAGCCAAAAGUUUGCAGUAAUCACUUUAGUACUUCAAAAACGUCAAUCAACAGUUCCGAACUCCAAGGUUCAUCAGAAAAAGGGGAAGUCUGUUAAAAGGUCAAAAUCAAAGUUAGACUUUAUCAAAAGUAAGAACACCAAUGUAACUUUACCUUUCCCCCUUAGUGUAUAUAUCAUGUUAGCUCCAUAUAUAUUUUUUCUUGGUAAAAAGUGACAUUGCAGCACCAAGAGUUUAGAUUCUAAGAUAAAAAAACUUAAGGUCUCACAAGAGUUUCUUCGACGCUAAUGGGAACAAUGGUAUCACUCGUAAAACGUUACCAAUAUGGUAUGUCAUUCAGUUUAGUCAAGAAUUAUUUGUAGACUGAUAUUAUGUAGAAUUUGAAAUUAUAAUUAAUUUUAAAAAAGUUAUAUUCAUCUGUUUCAAAAGUUGGUCGUCUAGGUGAAGCCGCCAAAGAUUCUUCUGAUCAUGUCAUAAUUACAGAUCCUGAGGCAAAUCGUAAGAAACUUUUAUUUUUUAUAUUAAUUCAUUAUAGAUAUGUUCAUAUCAAUAGAUUCGCUCAAAUUAUUCAGUAUUUUAGAAACAUUCUUUUGUGUCAUAUUUAUCUUAAAAUAAUCAUUAUAAUAUGUGGAAUUUGUAUGAAAACAACCUAAGAAUAUAGAAUUAAAACAGCUGACCACAUUAAUUGACAAUAAAAAUUAUAUGAUAAAAGUGCUCGAGGUAAAACAAAAAGUGACUUAUCUCAUAUCAAUGGCUACAGCUAAUAAUUUUGGUUUGGUAUGGACUAGUCACGCUUUGACAAUAUAAACAAAAACUCCCACUCGACGCAUAUUCAUGGUCAUUUGUGAAAGUAAAAUUCAUAACGGCCAACCAACUCGACGCCGAUAAAACUUCCGAAUGGACAAAUUUACCAAUAAGAAUCUUUUUUUAAAUAACAUCUGUGUAAGCAGCAACCAUCAAUCAAGUAAAGCACAAUAAGAAUGCAAGCGUUAUUAUAUCAUUUUAACUUGGAUACAUAUUCUCCACAUGCUGCAUCUACUGGAAUGUCGAACAAAAAGGAUACAGAAGUAAGAAAUUUGCAGUCAUCACUUUAGUAUUUCAAAAAAGUCAAACAAAAGUUCGAACUCCAAGGUUCAUAAAAAAAGGGAAAAUCUGUUAAAAUGACAAAAUCAAAGUAAGACUUUAUCAAAAGUUAGAAAUUAUCAUUAAUAAUAAGAAGUUAUAUUUAUCUGUUUCAAAAGUUGGUCGUCGAGAUAAACCCGUGGAAGAUUCUUCUAAUCAUCUCAUAAUUAAAGAUUCUGAGGACAAUCGUAAGAAAAUUUGGUUUUUAGCUAGCCUGGCCCAGAAGGCCAAGUGAGCUUUCCUCGUCACUUGGUGUCCGUCGUCCGUCGUCCGGCGUCCGCAAACUUUUACAAAAACCUUCUCCUCUGAAACUACUGCGCCAAAUUUAACCAAACUUGGCCACAAUCAUCAUUUGGGUAUCUAGUUUAAAGAUUGUGUCCGAUGACCUGGCCAACCAACCAAGAUAGCCGUCAUGGCUAAAAAUAGAACAUAGGGGUAAAAUGUAAAUGUUGGCCAAUAUUUCGGAAACCAGAGCAUUAAGAGCAAAUCUGACGGGUUAAAUUGUUUAUCAGGUCAAGAUCUAUCUGCCCUGAAUUUUCAGACAAAUCGGACAACCUGUUUUUGGGUUGCUGCCCCUGAAAUAGUAGUUUAAGAACAUUUUGCAGUUUUUGGUUAUUAUUCUAAAUACUAUUAUAGAUAGAGAUAAACUGUAAGAACAAUUAAUGUUCAGCAAAGUAAGAUCUACAAAUAAAUCAACAUGACCAAAAUUGACAGUUGACCCCUGAUGGAGGAAUUGCCCUUUGUAGUCAAUUUUUAACCAAUUUUCUAAAAUUUUAGUAAUUUUUUAAAAAAAUCUUCUCCUCUGAAACUAGAUACUAGACAAAUUUUACCAAACUUGGCCACAUUCAUCAUUUGGAGUAUCUAGUUUUAAAAAAUGUGUUCGAUGACCCUGCCCACCAACUUAGAUGGCCAACAUGGCUAAAAAUAGAACAUAGGAGUAAAAUACAGUUUUUCGCUAAUAUCUCUGAAACCAAAGCAUUUAGAGCAAAUCUGACAGUAGUAAAAUUGUUCAUUUAGUCAAAAUCUAACUGCCCUGAAUUUUUUAGACAAAACAGGCAACCCGUUGUUGGGUUGCUGCCCCUGAAUUGGUAAUUUUAAGAAAAGUUUUUGGUUAUUAUCUUCAAUAUUAUCUUAGAUAAAGAUAAACUGUAAACAGUAAUUAUGUAUAGCAAGUAAGAUCUACAAAUAAAUCAUCUUUACCAAAACGGUCAAUUGACCCCUUAAGGAGUUAUUGCUCUUUAUAGUAAAUUUUAAACGAUUUUCGUAAAUUAUGUUAGUUUUUUGUAAACUUUUACAAAAAGUAUUUCUUUGUAUGCACAUUUAACGACAAAUCUAUGUGACGUAUAAAAUUUUCUGACGUCAGACACACAAAUCAAUGAAUGUGUUUGUAGAUAGAUGUUUUUGUGUUCUGUUAAAUUGUUCCUUUUGAAAUUGUUAUACGAUGAUGACUGAAGUACCCAUAUUUUAAAAUUGUUAUACGAUGAUGACUGAUGUACCCAUAUUUUAAAAUUGUUAUACGAUGAUGACUGGUGUACCCAUAUUUUGACUAUUUUAUUUAUUGUGUCUGUUUAGUAAACGCAUCAAUGUAAAUUUAACGGAAUUUGAUGAGACUGUCAUCAAUGUGAGAGGGUUAGCGCUAUAAAACCAGGUUUAAUCCAUCAUUUUCUACAUUUAAAAAUGCCUGUACCAAGUCAGUAAUAUGACAGUUCUUGUCCAUUCGUUUUUGAUGCGUUUUGUUAUUUGAUUUUUCCAUGUGAUUAUGGACUUUCCGAAUUGAUUUUCCUCCAAGUUCAGUAUUUUUGUGAUUUUAAUUUUUUAUUUGAAACUUCUGAGCCAAGUUUAUUAUGAUAAAGAGAAAAUUGUAAACAGCAAGAAUGUUCAGUAAAGUAAGAUUGACAAACACAUCAUCACCACCCAAACACUAUUUUGUCAUGAAGUCUAUUCUCAUCUAUAAUUUGUGUCCUUUGUUUAAUAUGCUGCUUGCACAUAGACCAAUGUGAGCGACACAGGCUCUUAAGAGCCUCUAGUUAUUAUAACUUAUAAUAAUUGUUAGGUAUUUUUAGAAACAUUCUGUUGUGUCAUAUUAGUCUUAAAAUAAUCAUUGUCAUACAUUUUAAAUUUGUAUGAAAAAGGACAAAAGAUUACAGAAUUAUAACAGCUGACCACACUUAAUCGACAACAUGAAAAUUAUGGAGUGGUAUGAGUAUCAAUGAGACAACUCUCAAUCCAAGUCAUAAUGUAUAUAAAAUUUACAAUUAUAAGUCGAAUUACCUUCAUUCAGUUCAAUGAAGUAUUAUUUCAUUUGUAUACUGAGUAUGUAGAAUUUGAAAUUAUCGUUUCUUAUAAGAUUUAUUUUUAUCUGUUUCAAAAGUUGACCGCCGACUCCUGAUCAUCUCAUAGUUAAAGAUCCUGAGGACACUCGUAAGAAACGUUUUUUCUCCUUAUUUUAAUUCAUUUUGAUUAUAUUCAUACCAAUAAAUUCGCUAAAUUGUUCGGUAUUUUUAGAAACAUUCUGUUGUGUCAUAUUUUGUUUUAAAAUAAUCAUUGUCAAAUGUGUUAAAUUUGUAUGAAAAGGACCAAAAAUAACAGAAUUAUAACUGCUGAACACAUUAAUUGACAAUAAAAAAAAAUAAAAUGUGGUAUGAAUGUCAUUGAGACAACACUCCCUCCAAGACACAAUGUGUAAAAAGUUAACAAUUAAAGGUCAAACUACAGCAAUGUUAUUUUCACAUAUUGUAUGUUUACUUAGUGCAAACCUGUAUGUUUAAAAAUUGGUAAAAUUAAUUUAUUAUCAAUUAGAUAAAAUAAUAAAUGAAACACAAUAUUUUUUUAAAGAAAUAUCUGACAAUAACUUGUCUUAUUUUGUUGUUAUUAUAUAAGAUACAUAUUUGUUGGACUGUCUACUUUAAAAUAAACAACCCAAUCAGAUAAUUCAAACCAUAUGACGAAUAAAUCAUUUUAAAUGUUAUAAAACUACUAUCAAGUAUCUGUGUGUUUACGAUCAAAUAAAACAGAUUCCAUAAAAAUUACCUAGCAGGGAUGUAAGGAAAAACGAUUGAAAUCGGCCGGAAAAAGUUUAUUGUCAAAAUAGAUAAUUUGAUGACUGAUACGAUUUUUAAAAUUCUAAAGCCAAAAGAAUCGACUGAUCUUGAAAAUUAUCUUUUAUGUCAUCUUUUGUUCAAGACGAAAAAGAUAAAUUAGAAUAAUGCAUGUUUCUUUAAAACUAGAUGAUAAAUAUAUUUGCAUAAUAAAUUUGAUAUCAUAUAUAUAAAUAAAUGCAUAAAGGUUUUUCUACUAGUAGUCUACCGAGAGUGCAGAAUUCAAAAUAUGUUGUUCUACCCUUUGUCUUUUAAAUGUUAAACUGACCUUAUAAUUUUUAGUUAAUACACAACGAUAAUCAUUACAAUCUCUCAAGUAAACUGUCACAAAAAGUUUUGUUUUUACUUUUUAAAUUAGGACUUUUUUGUUUUAAUGUAACGAUAUAGUUAAUGUUGAGAUACACAACUUACAAAUGCUUCUUAUUUACUGUACUUUUAUUCACAGUUGGAAGUUUUCCAAGACGACAACUAUGAAAUAUGCUGAAAAAAAUAUGAAAGCAAAUAAAGUUUUCAAUUAAAAGUUUUUUUUUUAUAAAAUCAGAAAACCAG